AAUUGGGGAAUAUUGCACAAUGGGGGAAACCCUGAUGCAGCAAUGCCGCGUGAGUGAUGACGGCCUUCGGGUUGUAAAGCUCUGUCUUCAGGGACGAUAAUGACGGUACCUGAGGAGGAAGCCACGGCUAACUACGU
RNAcentral lists this ribosomal RNA (137 nucleotides) under uncultured Clostridium sp. RNAcentral's name for it is "partial 16S ribosomal RNA". It matches the Rfam family "Bacterial small subunit ribosomal RNA", at positions 352 to 506 of the family's 1533-position model. Lineage: Bacteria; Bacillati; Bacillota; Clostridia; Eubacteriales; Clostridiaceae. The record is from RNAcentral.